UACCUCCAACAUAUUUGAUAAAAUUCCUAUUAUAAUGCUUUUCUAUACUAUUGGAUUUUUAAUGGAACUAUUGCGCAUUUUGGUUUGGUAAUUGAACCCUAAAUAGUUUAAAUUGGUUGUAAUGUAUAAAUCGUAUGGAUUGGUAGUUAUGAUCAUGGUUAAUUAAACUGUCUUGUAGGGUACAAGGGAUUCCCCCAAGGAAAAAUAAUAAUGGAACACUUGCAGGGGAC
This 230-nucleotide long non-coding RNA is filed under the name Capsicum annuum. RNAcentral describes it as "long non-coding RNA (CANN_LNC018897)". The record is from RNAcentral. Lineage: Eukaryota; Viridiplantae; Streptophyta; Magnoliopsida; Solanales; Solanaceae.